RNAcentral lists this ribosomal RNA (427 nucleotides) under uncultured beta proteobacterium. RNAcentral's name for it is "bacterial SSU rRNA". It matches the Rfam family "Bacterial small subunit ribosomal RNA", at positions 355 to 774 of the family's 1533-position model. Lineage: Bacteria; Pseudomonadati; Pseudomonadota; Betaproteobacteria. The record is from RNAcentral.
UGAGGAAUUUUGGACAAUGGGCGAAAGCCUGAUCCAGCCAUGCCGCGUGAGUGAAGAAGGCCUUCGGGUUGUAAAGCUCUUUUAGUCGGAAAGAAAGAGUUGCAAUGAAUAAUUGUGAUUUAUGACGGUACCGACAGAAAAAGCACCGGCUAACUACGUGCCAGCAGCCGCGGUAAUACGUAGGGUGCGAGCGUUAAUCGGAAUUACUGGGCGUAAAGGGUGCGCAGGCGGUCUUGCAAGUCAGAUGUGAAAGCCCCGGGCUUAACCUGGGAAUUGCGUUUGAAACUACAAGACUAGAGUGCAGCAGAGGGGAGUGGAAUUCCAUGUGUAGCAGUGAAAUGCGUAGAGAUGUGGAAGAACACCGAUGGCGAAGGCAGCUCCCUGGGUUGACACUGACGCUCAUGCACGAAAGCGUGGGGAGCAAACA